Molecule: long non-coding RNA, 2525 nt
Organism: Bos grunniens (domestic yak)
Lineage: Eukaryota; Metazoa; Chordata; Mammalia; Artiodactyla; Bovidae
Source: Ensembl
UUCGCAAAGUGCCACUGCGGCGGGAGAAAGCGGAGGUCCCAGAAUGUGGCGGCGCCCUGAGGCGCAUCCUGUUCUCAACUUCUGGGAAUUUACCCCACCCCCUUCCAAUUUACCCCAUUGGCUCUUAAUGUUAGAGAUUAGUCCUUAAAGGUACUGGUUGAGAGACUAUAUUGUAAUGAGCUUGGGGAAAGCAAAGAUAUAUUGUUUUUCUGCAUUCUCUCAGUCUUGUGUCCCCCUCAGUCUUGUGGCUAGCACAUGAUUCCACAUGUAACUGCUGGAUUUCUUACACUGUUUACAAUACAGCAAGGUUGCAGUUUUCUUGAUGGUAAGGGCCAUGUCUUAAAUUUAUUUACUUUAAAAAUUUUAUUAUUACUUUAUGUAUUUUUGGCUGUGGUGGGUCUUUGUUGCUGCGACUGGACUUUCUCUAGCUGUGGUACGCGGGGCUGCUCUGUCCUUGUGGUGCUCGGGCUUCUCAUUGCGCUAGCUUCUCUUGUUGUGGAGCUCGGGCUUGAGGCGUGGGCUUCAGAAGUUGCAUUGCCUGGGCUUAGUUGCUCCGUGGCAUCUGGAGUCUUCCCAAACCAGGGAUCAAAUCUGUUUACCCGGCAUUGGCAGGCAGAUUCUUAACCACUGGACCACAAGGCAAGUCCAAGAGCCAUGUCUUUGAUUAUUUAUUCAACUAACAUUAUUUGCGUGUAGGUACUAAAAACAUUGACAUGCGUUUAGCCCAAUUAAUCUUCUCCAUAAUCCCAGAAGAUAGAAACUGUUAUUCUCUGUGUUUUGUAGUUGAGGAAAGUAAGGCUGAAGUAACUUAAAAAUAAUUUACAAGUAAUUUAAAAAUAGUGGAACUCGGGCCUGGUGUAUCUAUUGUCUCCCAGUUGGAAUGUCUGGGAACUGAAGUCAUCCUUCUUGCUCUGAUCAGAGACCACUAAGGAGUAUAAUUUAUUGCCGGUGAAAGGGGAGGCAGGUGAGGCAGGGCGAUGUGGAGAGAAUGUGACAACAAACUUCAAAAUAUUUGACUUCCCCAGACUUCCCUGGUGGUCCAGUGGUUAAAGGGGACUUGGAUUCAAUCCCUGGUCAGGCAACCAAGAUCCCACGUGCUGCGGGGCAACUAAGCCCAUGCUCUGCAGCAAAGAGCCUGCAAAGCAAAAAAAGAAAAAAAAGAAAAAAAAAUUUUGGCUUCCCAGCCCAACCAAGGUCUCUGAACAGCACCAGGUUCCCUUAACCUUGACUGUAAACUUUCCAAAUCUGAACUUGCUAUUUGCAGGUAUCCUCUCCCAUUUCCCACAUUUUAUUAUUAAAUAGAGAACACUGGACUGGGAAUCAAGUUACACCUACACUCACUUUAGCAAUUAACUUGCUGAGUUACCUUAGACAAACAAUUAGACAUUUAAAAUGGAGGUGAAAAUAGUUGUUUUCUCCAGGGGGUGUUGAGACUGGAAGAAAAGUGGGCUUCCCAGGCGGUGCUAAUGGUAACCUGCCAAUGCAGACAUAAGAGACUUGGGUUCAGUCCCUGGACUGGGACGAUCCCCUGGAGGAAGGAAUGGCCACCCACUCCUGUGUUCUUGCCUAGAGGAUCCCAUGGACAAAGGAGUCUGGAGGUCCAUGGGGAGUCCAUGGGGUCGCAAAGAGCUGGACACGACUGAAGUGACUUACCAUGGUCUGAAGAUUGCUAAGUAAAUAAAUCUCUCACUAUGUAAAUACAAGGUAAUAUUUCAUAAUUUGUUGUCGUUUAGUCGCUAAGUCGUGUCUGACUCUUUAGCGACCCCAUGGACUGUAGCCUGCCAGGUUCCUCUGUCCAUAGAAUUUUCCAGCAAGAACCUACUUCAGGGGAUCUUCCUGAGUCAGGGAUCGAACCCGUUAUCUCCUGCAGUGGCAGGCAUUAGCAGGCGGAUUUUUUUUACCGCUGAGCCACCAGGGAAAUGAUGCAGGGUUGAAUUACUUUACUUCUGAGCAUCAGUUUUCCAUCUGUAAGAUGAAGAUACUGUAUACCUUACAGAGUUGUUGGGAGGGUUAGAGAUGGUGUAUGUUAAGCCCAAUGCCAAACACGUGGAAGGAAUCUAGGAAUGGUAACUAUUAUUAAUAAUAACCUGACAACCUGGUUUGAUACUCUUAUUACCACAUUUGGCAGAACAACAAACAAACAGUACUUACACACACAAAAAGCAUCAACCACCACCAUCCACUACCCAACCAGCAUGGUCCGCUGAACUCCCCUAAAGGUGACCGAUGGCUCCCCAGGGGUGCUUGAAGCCCACCAAAGGCUGUGGCAAACUGGAGGUGCAGCCAGAUGGAAUUCUGUUCCUCCUUUGAGGCUGGGAGUGCUUUCAAUGCAGGAUGAUGGCUUGGUGCAAAGACUCACUGGGAAAUAGCUUUGACUGCCAAGUGACAGGGGUGAGCCAAACGAGAUGGUAGCAGGUAGGGGCUGAGAGCAGCUGGGAGACGAUGGUCUUAACUCUGCUACCGAAUCACUUUAUUCCUCCUUUUCUCCACUUGAGAGGCCUCCAGGCCAUCAGGGCUGCCCACCC